Molecule: long non-coding RNA, 1373 nt
Organism: Solea solea (common sole)
Lineage: Eukaryota; Metazoa; Chordata; Actinopteri; Pleuronectiformes; Soleidae
Exons: 7
Source: RefSeq, a predicted model, not a curated record
CCGCUCAGCAACACACAAGUCCACCAGCACACAGGCCGGGGGCAGCCUGCUAACUCGAGUCUCCGUCGUUUUUAUUCUUUUGAAGAAUAAUAAGAAACCAGAUGUGACGGCAAUGCGCACCAUUGUACUCCGAGGCCUCCCUGUGUGUAUGCUAGCAGGGUGAGGUUACCAGCCUAGCUCCUGUGAAAAACAUGCAGUGGAGAGAGACAGUAAAUCCAGGGGGAGAGAUAGGGGAUGAUGACAUGUAGCAAAUGGUUCAGGGCGGAUUCAAACCCGGUGUCAUUGUGGAUUGUGACACUGAUGAGACAUGGGCAGAAGUAUAUGGUGGGUUGCUGACUGUUGUCUGUGAAGAUGUGCAACUCACUCCAAAUCAGCCCCACCAUCACCCAGUGUCUACUGCCAUCAUUGUUGAGGGGCAUAUUUGGAGUGAAGCUUUGGCUUGAUGUGGAGUUCAUAUGUGUUCUUCAUCUUUCAUUAGAACCAAGGACCAUGCAGCCUUUGUCUUAGCAUAUGUCAAAUGGCCAAGUCAGAUAGAUGUAGACUACAAAUCAAGAUGGUGAGUGACAAAGAAACUCCAACAAGAUGGCUACUUGACUGCAUGGCUGUUGUGUGUCUUUGGUAACCACUUUUGUAAACUGAGAUGCCAGCUUAGAUGAGGUUAGAAGCAUACACAUCUAGAGCUGAAAGCGAAGAAGCAUGGACACCGCUAACAUCCUAUCAAGCUAAAUGUGGACAUUGCCACAACACUUUGUGUGAGCAAGUUAGCUCAAUACAACAUGUCAUCUAUGCUUAGCUAAGUAGUGUAAUGCUAUGCUAGGCCCAGUUCCAUUACCAAGUCCUUAAAAAGUGUCCCUUUGAGGAGCUGUCUGUUGGUCUAGGAACAGUAGAUGGUUGACUGUGUUUCUGGUGUCUGUUGGUGAGGUUCCUCUGUACAAAGUGAUCCAGUUGGAGCUAACCUGGCUCUGGAUCCUUAGGCAGGCUGUGGUGUCACUGCCUCUGAUGUGAGGAUAGCAGGCCGCUAUGAGCAAAGGGCCAUGUGGUCUCCAACCUGAAGGAGGUGGUGGAGAAAGACUGAGUGAGAGAGAAAGAGAGGAAAGUAAAAGAAUUAGAUGGGAUGACUUACCUGACUGGAUGUUGGAGCCACGCAGAAGAGCAAGUGGUGUGCCAUUUUCUGGGCUUUCGCAAAGGAGGACGUCUAGUAGAUCCAAGAAGAGUCGCAACGGGCCCGGAGGACGGUAGAUGACAACAAUAGUAUUAGGUUCCUCCCUCGCGCCGCGCCGCCCCAGCAGACUCUUGUGAGACUCCUAUGUCUUUGUCUUCCGGAGUCUUGACUCCUGUGAGACUCCUAUGUCUUUGUCUUCCGGAGUCUUGAC